This 448-nucleotide ribosomal RNA is filed under the name uncultured bacterium. Its description in RNAcentral is "bacterial SSU rRNA". It matches the Rfam family "Bacterial small subunit ribosomal RNA", at positions 329 to 794 of the family's 1533-position model. The record is from RNAcentral.
UCCCAGACUCCUACGGGAGGCAGCAGUCGGGAAUAUUGCGCAAUGGAGGAAACUCUGACGCAGUGACGCCGCGUAUAGGAAGAAGGUUUUCGGAUUGUAAACUAUUGUCGUGAGGGAAGAAAUUGACAGUACCUCAGGAGGAAGCUCCGGCUAACUAUGUGCCAGCAGCCGCGGUAAUACAUAGGGAGCAAGCGUUAUCCGGAUUUAUUGGGUGUAAAGGGUGCGUAGACGGGAAAUUAAGUUAGUUGUGAAAGUCCGCGGCUCAACCGUGGAAUUGCAGUUGAAACUGGAGGCCUUGAGUGCACACAGGGAUGCCGGAAUUCAUGGUGUAGCGGUGAAAUGCUUAGAUAUCAUGAAGAACUCCGAUCGCGAAGGCAAGUGUCCGGGGUGCAACUGACGCUGAGGCUCGAAAGUGCGGGUACCAAACAGGAUUAGAUACCCUAGUAAG